RNAcentral lists this small RNA (194 nucleotides) under Mycoplasmoides pneumoniae M129. Its description in RNAcentral is "Mycoplasma pneumoniae M129 ncRNA". Lineage: Bacteria; Bacillati; Mycoplasmatota; Mycoplasmoidales; Mycoplasmoidaceae. The record is from RNAcentral.
GCUUAUCCUGGUCUACUGUUGGAAAGGAAAGCAUGGUCGGUGUUAAAGCGCUGGCACCCUCAGUGUUGACCUUUUGGAGUUUAGAGACAAAGAUGUUGGCUAGGGUAGCUACACUAGAACCGUCAAAACUAGUGUGAUCCGCUAGAAUGACUAACUGAGCGUUCUUAGUAAUGACCAACUGAAUCCCCUUAGCG